UACGGAGGGUGCGAGCGUUGUUCGGAAUCAUUGGGCGUAAAGCGCACGUAGGCGGCUUAGUAAGUCGGAUGUGAAAUCCCGGGGCUCAACCUUGGAACUGCAUUGGAAACUGGCUGGCUAGAGUAUGAGAGAGGGAAGUGGAAUUCCUGGUGUAGCGGUGAAAUGCGUAGAUAUCAGGAGGAACAUCAGUGGCGAAGGCGGCUUCCUGGUCCAAUACUGACGCUGAGGUGCGAAAGCGUGGGGAGCAAACAGG
This 253-nucleotide ribosomal RNA is filed under the name uncultured bacterium. RNAcentral's name for it is "partial 16S ribosomal RNA". It matches the Rfam family "Bacterial small subunit ribosomal RNA", at positions 524 to 776 of the family's 1533-position model. The record is from RNAcentral.